Molecule: long non-coding RNA, 3704 nt
Organism: Apis mellifera (honey bee)
Lineage: Eukaryota; Metazoa; Arthropoda; Insecta; Hymenoptera; Apidae
Exons: 8
Source: RefSeq, a predicted model, not a curated record
AAUUUAUAUUUCUAUGAAAAUCUGUCAUAUACAUCGUCUGGUAAUAUUAAAAUUAUUUGUUCGAUAAAUAAAUACGUGAUACCUUAUGUUUAUUAGAACUAAAUAUAUAUCAAAAUUAUGACAAUUAAAAUAAUUAAAAGUAAUAUUGUUAACAGGUGGAAAUGGAUAAUGUAUAAAUAUUCGACAAUGUGGAAAUUAUAAUGGUCUAAUCUCGUGGUUUAUAUUGUAAAAACUGUAAAUACUCUGAUGGAAUAUUUAAAGGAUCUGGUAAAAAAAUAAAAUUCAUGAACCGAAGCACAUGUAAACUUAUUACGGGCACAAUUGCUCAAUUUUUUUCUAUAGAAGAUAAAGUCGAGAUAAAAGUCCGAAUGGAUAAUAUCGUGUGGAUUUGUUCAAUUGCCAUUAAUAAAUUUGUAAAAAUUUGUAAUGAAAUGACAACACUCGUUUCAUUAAAAUCCACUGCAUUAUGUUUUCUUGUGAAAAUGGUGUAGGAAGUUUUGACUCUAGUCUUUUUAAAUUGGACAAAAUUUUUCCAAUAUGCAUACUGUCACUGCACACACUGUCAACGUACACAGGCAGUCUUAAAAUGUUAUGCAGAAACACGACCGUUAUCUUUAAGACUAUUCUAUUCUAUCAUCUUUAAACGUAAUGAAACGAAGCAAGAAAUUUGGUUAUCAGAUAUAGGAACUGUUGGUCCUUCGGUAGAACGUGUAUUUAAAAGUAUAAUGACAGUAAAAUACUAAGCUUGGAUUAAACAUCCAUCAGGUUAAAAUAUUCAUUUUCCUCUUUUCAUUAGAAAAUUAAAACAGACAGAAUCUAACAUCAUUAUUUUUGUUCUUCUUCUAUGAUUAUAGUAAACGUACAUUUUUUACAUACAUUUUUAUGCUUUUUACGUUUGAUUUGUGUGAUUUAAAUACAAAUACAACGAUAAUUUUGUUUUCAGAAGAAUUUGAAGAAAAUUGUGAAUAUUAAUUUAGAUGAAAAUGAUUUAAGCGUAUCAAAAGAAUAUUAACAUUAACGUAUCACGUAUCACAAAAUAAUAACAUAAGAAGAUAAAAUGAUAAGCAUUGGAUAAGAAUAUUGGUAUGAAAUAUUUUUACGAAAUAUUCAUUUUAUUUAAAUAAAAUUUUAAAUCUCGAUAAUCUAACAACGGAUGAUGCAGAUACAGAUGUUAAGAGAUGAUACUUUAACAAUUGAAAGUUUAGAUGGAAAUAGAUUAUAUUUGGAUUUCACGGCUCAAUUUAGAAUCUAUAAUUUUACCACACAGUAUCGUUGAAAAUUUUGAAGUUGGACGUGAUCGUUCCUUAUUAGAGGAUAAUAUGAUAUCUAUUUAUAUUUUAUAUUUUUAUAUUUAACAUAUAUUCAAUGAUAGGCAAUGAUAGAGACUAGCAUGAUGAAAUUAAAUAGAAGUUUGAAUAUGAUAUGAUAAGCGAUAUGUAAUUGAACAAAUAAGUCAUAGAAAGAAAUUGAAAAUAAAUUUAUGAGCGAAAAUAAAUAUAAAUCUGAUGAUAUUUUCAGUUAACAGUAUUCCUACGCAUUUAGAAGUAUUGAAAAAAGAAAAACAAAGGAAAUGCAAUAUAGUACUAGCAACAAUUUGAAAAAUAAUUAGAUAGGUGGAAAUGGAUAAUGUAUAAAUAUUCGACAAUGUGGAAAUUAUAAUGGUCUAAUCUCGUGGUUUAUAUUGUAAAAACUGUAAAUACUCUGAUGGAAUAUUUAAAGGAUCUGGUAAAAAAAUAAAAUUCAUGAACCGAAGCACAUGUAAACUUAUUACGGGCACAAUUGCUCAAUUUUUUUCUAUAGAAGAUAAAGUCGAGAUAAAAGUCCGAAUGGAUAAUAUCGUGUGGAUUUGUUCAAUUGCCAUUAAUAAAUUUGUAAAAAUUUGUAAUGAAAUGACAACACUCGUUUCAUUAAAAUCCACUGCAUUAUGUUUUCUUGUGAAAAUGGUGUAGGAAGUUUUGACUCUAGUCUUUUUAAAUUGGACAAAAUUUUUCCAAUAUGCAUACUGUCACUGCACACACUGUCAACGUACACAGGCAGUCUUAAAAUGUUAUGCAGAAACACGACCGUUAUCUUUAAGACUAUUCUAUUCUAUCAUCUUUAAACGUAAUGAAACGAAGCAAGAAAUUUGGUUAUCAGAUAUAGGAACUGUUGGUCCUUCGGUAGAACGUGUAUUUAAAAGUAUAAUGACAGUAAAAUACUAAGCUUGGAUUAAACAUCCAUCAGGUUAAAAUAUUCAUUUUCCUCUUUUCAUUAGAAAAUUAAAACAGACAGAAUCUAACAUCAUUAUUUUUGUUCUUCUUCUAUGAUUAUAGUAAACGUACAUUUUUUACAUACAUUUUUAUGCUUUUUACGUUUGAUUUGUGUGAUUUAAAUACAAAUACAACGAUAAUUUUGUUUUCAGAAGAAUUUGAAGAAAAUUGUGAAUAUUAAUUUAGAUGAAAAUGAUUUAAGCGUAUCAAAAGAAUAUUAACAUUAACGUAUCACGUAUCACAAAAUAAUAACAUAAGAAGAUAAAAUGAUAAGCAUUGGAUAAGAAUAUUGGUGGAAAUGGAUAAUGUAUAAUAUUCGACAAUGUGGAAAUUAUAAUGGUCUAAUCUCGUGGUUUAUAUUGUAAAAACUGUAAAUACUCUGAUGGAAUAUUUAAAGGAUCUGGUAAAAAAAAUAAAAUUCAUGAACCGAAGCACAUGUAAACUUAUUACGGGCACAAUUGCUCAAUUUUUUUCUAUAGAAGAUAAAGUCGAGAUAAAAGUCCGAAUGGAUAAUAUCGUGUGGAUUUGUUCAAUUGCCAUUAAUAAAUUUGUAAAAUUUGUAAUGAAAUGACAACACUCGUUUCAUUAAAAUCCACUGCAUUAUGUUUUCUUGUGAAAAUGGUGUAGGAAGUUUUGACUCUAGUCUUUUAAAUUGGACAAAAUUUUUCCAAUAUGCAUACUGUCACUGCACACACUGUCAACGUACACAGGCAGUCUUAAAUGUUAUGCAGAAACACGACCGUUAUCUUUAAGACUAUUCUAUUCUAUCAUCUUUAAACGUAAUGAAACGAAGCAAGAAAUUUGGUUAUCAGAUAUAGGAACUGUUGGUCCUUCGGUAGAACGUGUAUUUAAAAGUAUAAUGACAGUAAAAUACUAAGCUUGGAUUAAACAUCCAUCAGAAGAAUUUGAAGAAAAUUGUGAAUAUUAAUUUAGAUGAAAAUGAUUUAAGCGUAUCAAAAGAAUAUUAACAUUAACGUAUCACGUAUCACAAAAUAAUAACAUAAGAAGAUAAAAUGAUAAGCAUUGGAUAAGAAUAUUGGUAUGAAAUAUUUUUACGAAAUAUUCAUUUUAUUUAAAUAAAAUUUUAAAUCUCGAUAAUCUAACAACGGAUGAUGCAGAUACAGAUGUUAAGAGAUGAUACUUUAACAAUUGAAAGUUUAGAUGGAAAUAGAUUAUAUUUGGAUUUCACGGCUCAAUUUAGAAUCUAUAAUUUACCACACAGUAUCGUUGAAAAUUUUGAAGUUGGACGUGAUCGUUCCUUAUUAGAGGAUAAUAUGAUAUCUAUUUAUAUUUUUAUAUUUUUAUAUUUAACAUAUAUUCAAUGAUAGGCAAUGAUAGAGACUAGCAUGAUGAAAUUAAAUAGAAGUUUGAAUAUGAUAUGAUAAGCGAUAUGUAAUUGAACAAUAAGUCAUAGAAAGAAAUUGAAAUAAAUUUAUGAGCGAAAAUAAAUAUAAA